UACGGGGGGAGCAAGCGUUGUUCGGAUUUACUGGGCGUAAAGGGCGCGUAGGCGGCGUGGUAAGUCACUUGUGAAAUCUCCGGGCUUAACUCGGAACGGUCAAGUGAUACUGCUGUGCUAGAGUGCGGAAGGGGCAACUGGAAUUCUUGGUGUAGCGGUGAAAUGCGUAGAUAUCAAGAGGAACACCUGCGGCGAAGGCGGGUUGCUGGGCCGACACUGACGCUGAAGCGCGAAAGCUAGGGGAGCGAACGGG
RNAcentral lists this ribosomal RNA (253 nucleotides) under uncultured bacterium. RNAcentral describes it as "partial 16S ribosomal RNA". It matches the Rfam family "Bacterial small subunit ribosomal RNA", at positions 524 to 776 of the family's 1533-position model. The record is from RNAcentral.